This 650-nucleotide ribosomal RNA is filed under the name uncultured bacterium. Its description in RNAcentral is "bacterial SSU rRNA". It matches the Rfam family "Bacterial small subunit ribosomal RNA", at positions 66 to 705 of the family's 1533-position model. The record is from RNAcentral.
ACGGCAGCACGGGGUGGUAACACUCUGGUGGCGAGUGGCGAACGGGUGAGUAACAUAUCGGAACGUAUCCGGAAAUGGGGGAUAACUAGUCGAAAGAUUAGCUAAUACCGCAUAUGCCCUGAGGGGGAAAGUGGGGGAUUCGCAAGGACCUCACGUUUUCGGAGCGGCCGAUAUCAGAUUAGCUAGUUGGUGGGGUAAAGGCCCACCAAGGCAUCGAUCUGUAGCUGGUCUGAGAGGACGACCAGCCACACUGGGACUGAGACACGGCCCAGACUCCUACGGGAGGCAGCAGUGGGGAAUUUUGGACAAUGGGGGCAACCCUGAUCCAGCCAUGCCGCGUGAGUGAAGAAGGCCUUCGGGUUGUAAAGCUCUUUCGGACAGAAAGAAAUCGCACGGGUUAAUACCUUGUGUGGAUGACGGUACUGUAAGAAGAAGCACCGGCUAACUACGUGCCAGCAGCCGCGGUAAUACGUAGGGUGCGAGCGUUAAUCGGAAUUACUGGGCGUAAAGCGUGCGCAGGCGGUUUUUUAAGACAGAUGUGAAAUCCCCGGGCUUAACCUGGGAACUGCAUUUGUGACUGGAAGACUAGAGUACGGCAGAGGGGGGUAGAAUUCCACGUGUAGCAGUGAAAUGCGUAGAGAUGUGGAGGA